Xyrauchen texanus (razorback sucker) is the source of this 390-nucleotide long non-coding RNA. RefSeq lists it as uncharacterized. The transcript is spliced from 4 exons. The record is from RefSeq and is a predicted model, not a curated record. NCBI's taxonomy places the organism in Eukaryota, Metazoa, Chordata, Actinopteri, Cypriniformes, Catostomidae.
AUUUUCACCAGGCAGAUACUCCUCAUCUUCAACCGCUGCUCAGGGCCUUCACUUACAACUCCUAACUCGCAUUGCAGAAACUCAGCAAACAACAGAUAAUUCCGGGACAAUCCCCCUGGAGCAAUCUGGAGUUAAGUGCCUUGCUCAAGGACACAAUGGUGGUGGCUGUGGGGCUCAAACCAACGUCCUUCUGAUUACCAGAUUACCAGCAGUGGCAAAGAAUUCCUGCAGAUUUUUCACUGGAGAGACAUCACUCGCAUUGCAGAAACUCAUCAGGCAACAGGGUAGUCUGGCCGCAGUCUUGGAACUGGUUCUUCCUCACCCUAACACUGAGCAAGGAAAUCUUCCCAGAAGGCUGUGUACAGCUCCCGUGACACUCCAUCAUCAUCA